RNAcentral lists this ribosomal RNA (120 nucleotides) under Bison bison bison. The record is from RNAcentral. Lineage: Eukaryota; Metazoa; Chordata; Mammalia; Artiodactyla; Bovidae.
GGCUCCGGCCCUAUCAGCCUGAAGGCGCCCGAUCUCCUCUGAUCUCGGAAGCUAAGCAGGGUCGGGCCUGCUUAGUAUCUUGGAUGGGAGACCACCUGGGAAUCCCGGGUGCUCGAGGCU